UGCCAUGCAUGUCUAAGUAUAAGCUUUUAUACGGCGAAACUGCGAAUGGCUCAUUAAAACAGUUAUAGUUUAUUUGAUGGUCUUUACUACAUGGAUAACCGUGGUAAUUCUAUGGCUAAUACAUGCGCACAUACCUCUUCCCUCGUGGAAGGGUAGUGUUUAUUAGAUACAGAACCAACCCACCUUCGGGUGGUCCCUAGGUGAUUCAUAGUAACCGAACGGAUCGCAUUAUGACCUUUUUGGUCGGCGAUGGAUCAUUCAAGUUUCUGACCUAUCAGCUUUCGACGGUACUGUAUUGGACUACCGUGGCAGUGACGGGUAACGGGGAAUUAGGGUUCGAUUCCGGAGAGGGAGCCUGAGAAACGGCUACCACAUCUAAGGAAGGCAGCAGGCGCGCAAAUUACCCAAUCCUGACUCAGGGAGGUAGUGACAAGAAAUAACAACACUGGAAAUUCUAUUUCUAGUGAUU
This 469-nucleotide ribosomal RNA is filed under the name Sarcocystis sp. RNAcentral's name for it is "SSU rRNA". It matches the Rfam family "Eukaryotic small subunit ribosomal RNA", at positions 47 to 510 of the family's 1831-position model. Lineage: Eukaryota; Apicomplexa; Conoidasida; Eucoccidiorida; Sarcocystidae. The record is from RNAcentral.